GAUGAAGAACGUAGCGAAAUGCGAUAAGUAAUGUGAAUUGCAGAAUUCCGUGAAUCAUCGAAUCUUUGAACGCACAUUGCGCCUUCUGGUAUUCCGGGGGGCAUGCCUGUCCGAGCGUCAUUUGCAACCCUCAAGCCCGGCUUGUGUGAUGGGUGCCGUCCCCUACGGGACGCGCCCCGAAGGCAAUGGCGGCGUCGCGGUUAUCCGAUCAGCCAAAGUGUAUGGGGCUUUGUCACUCACUUUACGGCCCGGACCGGCGCCAGUCCGAAUCAAUCUUUUUUCUAAAGUUGACCUCGGAUCAGGUAGGGAUACCCGCUGAACUUAAGCAUAUCAAUAAGCGGAGGA
Molecule: unclassified non-coding RNA, 345 nt
Filed under: soil metagenome
Description: partial contains 5.8S ribosomal RNA, internal transcribed spacer 2, and large subunit ribosomal RNA
Rfam family: 5.8S ribosomal RNA (bases 1-120)
Source: RNAcentral